This 153-nucleotide unclassified non-coding RNA is filed under the name soil metagenome. RNAcentral describes it as "partial internal transcribed spacer 1". The record is from RNAcentral.
UAAUAAGUGUUUUAUGGCACUUUUUAAAUCCAUAUCCACCUUGUGUGCAAAAAAAAUGUCUAAGUCGAUCUUCUUCAUGGAGAUCGACCAAACAUCAACCUUUAUCUUUUAACUCUUUGUCUGAAAAAUAUUAUGAAUAAACAAUUCAAAAUA